Molecule: ribosomal RNA, 463 nt
Filed under: uncultured bacterium
Lineage: Bacteria
Description: partial 16S ribosomal RNA
Rfam family: Bacterial small subunit ribosomal RNA
Source: RNAcentral
CCUACGGGUGGCAGCAGUGGGGAAUCUUCCGCAAUGGGCGAAAGCCUGACGGAGCAACGCCGCGUGAUCGAAUGAAGGCCUUCGGGUUGUAAAGAUCUGUUGACAGGGACGAAUAAGCCAUGCGAAUAGUUUGGUGUAUGACGGUACCUGUUUAGAAAGCUCCGGCUAACUACGUGCCAGCAGCCGCGGUAAUACGUAGGGAGCAAGCGUUGUCCGGAAUUACUGGGCGUAAAGGGCGCGUAGGUGGGUGCUUAAGUCAGCGGUAAAAGCCCGGGGCUCAACCCCGGCGAGCCGUUGAAACUGGCGGGCUGGAGUUGGAGAGAAGUACGCGGAAUGCGCGGUGUAGCGGUGAAAUGCUUAGAUAUCGCGCAGAACCCCGAUUGCGAAGGCAGCGUACCGGCUCCACACUGACGCUGAGGCACGAAAGCGUGGGUAUCGAACAGGAUUAGAUACCCGAGUAGUC